AGUGAACGCUGGCGGUAGGCCUAACACAUGCAAGUCGAACGGCAGCACAGUAAGAGCUUGCUCUUACGGGUGGCGAGUGGCGGACGGGUGAGGAAUACAUCGGAAUCUACUUUUUCGUGGGGGAUAACGUAGGGAAACUUACGCUAAUACCGCAUACGACCUACGGGUGAAAGCAGGGGAUCUUCGGACCUUGCGCGAUUGAAUGAGCCGAUGUCGGAUUAGCUAGUUGGCGGGGUAAAGGCCCACCAAGGCGACGAUCCGUAGCUGGUCUGAGAGGAUGAUCAGGCACACUGGAACUGAGACACGGUCCAGACUCCUACGGGAGGCAGCAGUGGGGAAUAUUGGACAAUGGGCGGAAGCCUGAUCCAGGCAUACCGCGUGGGUGGAGAAGGCCUUCGGGUUGGAAAGCCCUUUUGUUGGGGAAGAAAAGCAGCAGGUUAAUACCCCGCUGUUCUGACGGUACCCAAAGAAUAAGCACCGGCUAACUUCGUG
RNAcentral lists this ribosomal RNA (492 nucleotides) under uncultured bacterium. RNAcentral describes it as "partial 16S ribosomal RNA". It matches the Rfam family "Bacterial small subunit ribosomal RNA", at positions 29 to 507 of the family's 1533-position model. The record is from RNAcentral.